Rhinichthys klamathensis goyatoka is the source of this 468-nucleotide non-coding RNA. The record is from the annotation of a RefSeq genome assembly. NCBI's taxonomy places the organism in Eukaryota, Metazoa, Chordata, Actinopteri, Cypriniformes, Leuciscidae.
CUAAGCAUCAGAGCACAGUGAUACACUGAUCUGACCAAGUAAACAUGGAAAAACACCUGUUUCUGGUUUUAGUUCUGACUUCAGGUGUGAUGACUGCAGACCAGAUUGGGCCAAAUAAAGAAACUCUUAUCAUAAAGAAGGAAGACGAAACUGUGACUCUCAGCUGCUCAUACAAUACUAGCAGAAAUUAUGUUACACUGAACUGGUACAGACAGUAUCUUAAUGAAGAACCUCAGUAUUUAAAGUGGAAAGAUGCUCGUUUAUGGAGCGAUACUGGGAACCCCUCUGAUCCUCGCUUUCAGUCGACUACAUCUCAAACAUCCACUGAACUCAUGAUUAAAGGAGUAACUCUGUCAGAUUCAGCUCUCUAUUACUGUGCUCUGGAGCCCAGUGAUACAAAGUCUAUGUGAAGCUGUACAAAAACUCAAAUGUAUUUUUACUUUGAUGCCAAGCCACAUCAAACCCACA